GUCUCUGUGGCGCAAUAGGUUAGCGCGUUCGGCUAUUAACUGAAAGAUUGGUGGUUCAAGCUCACCCAGGGACG
This is a non-coding RNA of Danio rerio (zebrafish), 74 nucleotides long. The record is from Rfam. Lineage: Eukaryota; Metazoa; Chordata; Actinopteri; Cypriniformes; Danionidae.